CGGCCGGAAGCGGCUAAAACUACUCCUGCCUGCAUACCCCGCAGGAGCAAAGCGCGCCAUGUCUCCCUCCAGGGAUCCGCACCGCUCACAAUCCUGUUAAGUGCUGGGAUUGUAGUCCUGCGAGCCUACGACUAAUAGCUGGAUUAACUCUUAAGUACUCCACAACUACACGCUUUUGAAACUGGCGUUGGCAUAGCGUUAGUUCUGUGCAGGGCGGACGCAGCAGGACAGAAUCUCCCUGGGCAUCUUUUCGGAGCAUCAAUUUUACUGCAAAAUUUUGAAAAAACAAAUUUAAUUGAUUUCCAAGGUUUGUCAAGGAGGACAGAAACUCAGAGCACCCUGCACUUGGGGAUCGGCACUAGGAGCUGCUCUCUGGAUGGGGAGAUGGGAGCUAGCAGCUCACAAUGGGGUCACAAGAAUAUUGGUUCUUCUUUUAUCUGAACUGAGGAGCACCAGAGGACUGAUCAUGGCAUAGACAUUCACUACAAGACUCUGAACUUGCUGGUUGAUUGGGCCAUAUGCCCACAACAUUGCUGAGGAGAAGGAGAUGAUGAAAUCCACCCAACAGAGGACCACAGAGAAACUUACCAGCAGCAGUAUGGUCUGGAUGGCCCAUUUCUCAGGGGAAGCUCCUGGGGAAGGACCAUUGCUGUGAAGGUGGUGGGAUCACCUCUGAGGCCUGAAUAAGAGAGUCACCAUGUAUGCAAUUAAGAACAGCAGUAUUCCUACCAGGAAAGCAUCCCUAAGUGUUGUCAGAAUAAGAAACGUGGCCCUGAGGAUGAAGCUCAUGGAGAAAACUGGGCAGUACUUACCUAUAUUCAGUACAUUUGUCUGGCUCACACUGGAAGCAGCUACAGUGUAGAAGAUCCUGUUACUACUGAAAGACAAGUUGAGGAACCAUAAGAAGAAGAAAACAUGGAUAAUGUAAUUUGAAGAUUUAUGUUUAAACCUUGCCAAUCAGGAGGUGCUGGGGCUGAUGGUGGUGGCCUGGAACACACUCAGGGGGCAGGUGGUGCAGAUGGAGAGGCCCCACAACACCCUGCUCAGGUGGAAAAGUGCCUUACACUUGAAGUCAUUCUGAAGUUCAAUGAUGCAAACAGGUUUGGAGACUGCAAUAACAGUGCAAUGAAGAAGUUCACUAUGUGGACGAGGGGCAAGGGACAGAUGAUCAAGUCAGUGGGUUUUAGUCUGUGAUACAGAAGGAGAGUGAAGAUGCUGAAGAGGAACAGAAAAGUAUUGGCUGAGAUUCCAACAGCAACUUGUAAAACAAAGCAGCUUUUUAAUAACAUAUAUGAUAUGUAUGUACAUUGUAGUGGCAAAGAGGAAACAUUUGUAUAUCUGAAAAAACAAGUUUAGACAUCUUCAGUGCUGUUCUAUAGUUAAAAUUAUCACAACUAUGAUUAUGUUUAUUUCUCCCAAUUAUUAAGACUUACAAUGUAAUAUAAAUUAUUAGAAAAUACUCCUUCAGCAUUACAUGUAUUUAUUUGCACAAUGCUUCAGUGUGUGUGUGAGACACUAUACAUAAAUGUAUAUGUCAGCAUUACACAUAUAUAUAGUCAGCAUUAAUUUUAUGCCAAGUAACAUAUAUAUAAUGUGUUUGUGCAUAAUCGUUUUUUUUUGUUUUGUAGGGACAGGAUCUUAUUCUGUUGCCCAGCCUGGUCUCAAGUCCAUGGGCUCAAGUAAUCCUUCUGCCUUGGCCUCCCAAAG
This 1707-nucleotide long non-coding RNA is filed under the name Pan troglodytes (chimpanzee). Its description in RNAcentral is "long non-coding RNA NONPTRT015649". Lineage: Eukaryota; Metazoa; Chordata; Mammalia; Primates; Hominidae. The record is from RNAcentral.